UUCAAGAAUCAAUACAUGAAAUUUUAAUGAAUUUGAAAGAAAUUGUAUCGAGAAGCAAUUUGUAUGGAACUUGUGACGUGUCUAUUUGUGUCAAGGGUCCUGGAUAUAUAACUGCUCAAGACAUCAUUUUACUGCCUUUUGUAGAAAUAAUUGAUAAUACAUAGCAUAUCACUAGCCUAACAGAACUAAUUGAUUUGUGUAUUGGAUUACAAAUCAAGAGACAUCGCAGCUAUCGUAUAAAAUCAACAAAUAACUUUCAAGAGGGAAGUUAUCCUAUAAAUUGUGUAUUUAUGCCUGUUCGAAAUGUGAAUCAUAGUGUUCGUUCUUAUGGAAAUGGGAAUGAAAAGCAAGACAUACUUUUUCUCGAAAUAUGGACAAAUGGGAGUUUAACUCCUAAAGAAGCACUUCAUAAAGCCUCCCAAAAUUUGUGAUUGAUUUAAUUAUUCCUUUUCUACAUGCAGAAGAAGAAAACUUCCAUUUAGAAAAAAAUCAACAUAAGGUUACUUUACCUCUUUUUACCUUUUAUAAUAAAUUGACUAAAUUAAGAAAAAAUAAAAAUGAAAUAACAUUAAAAUACAUUUUUAUUGACCAAUCAGAAUUGACUCCUAAGAUCUAUAAUUGCUUCAAAAGAUCUAAUAUAUAUAUGAUGUGUGCUACUUGUGUUAGCUACAAUCUAAGGCAAUGUACCUAUCGAUGCAGUCUAGCACUAAUGGCGAGUAUCAAGGUCGUAUUCCUCGGGAAAGUGAAAGCCCAGAGUUACUCCUUUGUUCUUUGUUAUAUUAACCUAAAAUGAGUGAUGAAUAAUUUCUAAACUAACUAAUAGCUACAAGCUAAGUUCUAAGGGAGAUGCAGGAGUAAUUGAUAACUAAAAUAACCAAAACAAGAAAGCAAACCCAAAGGGAACCUAAACUAGUUGGCAAUCAAACAAAAGAUAAAGGAUUGGUGAGUCUAAUUAUGGUACCCGUGGAUGAAUUCUUAACCGAAUUCAGUUUCUCUCUCGAGAUAACUGAAUUCCUAAACCUAAUAACCUAAAGUUGAAAUCUCUUCCUAAUGAUUGAUUCUUAAAUUAGCAUUAAGCUUUAAUCCGCCUCUAUUAAGCUUUGUUAAUUCUUAAUCCGGCUAGUUAAUUAUCCUUAUCUCUAAGCGAUUAUUAACUAGUUCUUGCUAUUCAAAAUUCCAAUUGCCAAAUGGACUUCUCAAUCACACAAAGCAAUCUAAACACACAAUUCACAACGUCUCAUGACUAAUGCAUUAUCUCAUUAAUACUGAAAGUAAGAAGAAUACAAAACUAACCCAAACAAUCCAACAAUAUAAUACUAAGCCAACAUAGUAAAGAAAUCCUAAUGGAUUUAAUCAAUCUAGCUAAUCAUGUUCAUUAUCAAAAUCCACAAGAAUACAAUUACAACAAAGAGUAAAGGUAGAGAAAACCCGAUUACACCCUUGGAUGAGAGUAAACAGCCUCAAUUCCUCUUGCUCGAAUUGAAUCGAUUCUUGUUCCUCUUGCUCGAUUUGAAAACCAAUCAACGAACCUCGCCCAAUCUUCAAUCUUUAAAGGGAAUCCAAUUAAAACCUUGAUCCAAGUCUCCUCUUUCCUUAGUUUCAACUUAGAAAACCCCUAGAGAGAGAAAAAUUAGGGUUUGGGAUGUUCUCCCCCGCUCUCCUAUCUUUUCUCUUGCUCUUUCUUUUAAUUAAUUCGUCCUGUCGCCGCGAACACGGCCGUGUUCCUGGCCGUGUUGGGAACAUGGUUUAGUGUUCCUGGCCGUAUUGGGAACACGGUUUGGUGUUCCUGGCCGUGUUACUCUCUGCGCUCGUGCUCCCUAACGCCUCUUCUUCUUUGAUGUCUUAUGCACCCAAAACGGCCGUGUUGGUGCCUAUGUUGGGAACACAGCCAGUGUUGAAACCAACACGGCCAUGUUCAGCUUCCUCAUACUCGUACUUAGCUUGUUUCGGCAGCUUUGACGUCCAAUUAUGCUCCAAUUCUUCCCUUUAUCAUUCUUGACCUCUUNNNAGCGUCUUUUUUAUGGACGCUUUAUUCUGUCACCACUUAUGAAAGGCCAAGCCGACACAAUAGGCAUUGCGACGCGAAGAGCUUUGCUUGGAGAAAUCGAAGGAACAUGUAUCACACGUGCAAAAUCUGAGAAAAUACCACACGAAUUUUCGACUAUAGCAGGUAUUCAAGAAUCAAUACAUGAAAUUUUAAUGAAUUUGAAAGAAAUUGUAUUGAGAAGCAAUUUGUAUGGAACUUGUGACGCGUCUAUUUGUGUCAAGGGUCCUGGAUAUAUAACUGCUCAAGACAUCAUUUUACCACCUUUUGUAGAAAUCAUUGAUAAUACACAGCAUAUCGCUAGCCUAACGGAACCAAUUGAUUUGUGUAUUGGAUUACAAAUCGAGAGAAAUCGCGGCUAUCGUAUAAAACCGACAAAUAACUUUCACGAGGGAAGUUAUCCUAUAGAUGCUGUAUUUAUGCCUGUUCGAAAUGCGAAUCAUAGUGUUCAUUCUUAUGGAAAUGGGAAUGAAAAGCAAGAGAUACUUUUUCUCGAAAUAUGGACAAAUGGGAGUUUAACUCCUAAAGAAGCACUUCAUGAAGCCUCCCGGAAUUUGAUUGAUUUAUUUAUUCCUUUUCUACAUGCAGAAGAAGAAAACUUCCAUUUAGAAAAAAAUCAACACAAGGUUACUUUACCUCUUUUUACCUUUUAUGAUAGAUUGACUAAAUUAAGAAAAAAUCAAAACGAAAUAACAUUAAAAUACGUUUUUAUUGACCAAUCAGAAUUGACUCCUAAGAUCUAUAAUUGCCUCAAAAGAUCCAAUAUACAUACAUUAUCGGACCUUUUGAAUAAGAGUCAAGAAGAUCUUAUGAAAAUUGAACAUUUUCGUAUAGACGAUGUAAAACAUAUAUUGGGUAUUCUAGAAAUAGAAAAAAUUUCGCAAUUUAAUUUUUUUACCAAAGAAUAAAAUAUAAAUAUGAUAGAUGUUAUCUAGGGAGAAUUCACUUUGAAGCAACUAUUCCCUAGAUACACAUACACAUCAUGAUAUUUUAUUUUACAAUUGAAUCAAUUUAA
RNAcentral lists this long non-coding RNA (3059 nucleotides) under Ricinus communis (castor bean). Its description in RNAcentral is "long non-coding RNA (RCOM_LNC000721)". Lineage: Eukaryota; Viridiplantae; Streptophyta; Magnoliopsida; Malpighiales; Euphorbiaceae. The record is from RNAcentral.